CACGUAGGGUGCAAGCGUUGUCCGGAAUUAUUGGGCGUAAAGGGCUCGUAGGCGGUCCGUCACGUCGGGAGUGAAAACUCGGGGCUCAACCCCGAGCCUGCUUUCGAUACGGGCGGACUAGAGGUAGGUAGGGGAGAACGGAAUUCCUGGUGUAGCGGUGGAAUGCGCAGAUAUCAGGAGGAAUACCGGUGGCGAAAGCGACUCUCUGGACGGCAACUGACGCUGAGGCACGAAAGCGUGGGGAGCAAACAGG
Molecule: ribosomal RNA, 253 nt
Filed under: uncultured bacterium
Lineage: Bacteria
Description: partial 16S ribosomal RNA
Rfam family: Bacterial small subunit ribosomal RNA
Source: RNAcentral